AGUGAACGCUGGCGGUAGGCCUAACACAUGCAAGUCGAACGGCAGCACAGUAAGAGCUUGCUCUUACGGGUGGCGAGUGGCGGACGGGUGAGGAAUACAUCGGAAUCUACUUUUUCGUGGGGGAUAACGUAGGGAAACUUACGCUAAUACCGCAUACGACCUACGGGUGAAAGCAGGGGAUCUUCGGACCUUGCGCGAUUGAAUGAGCCGAUGUCGGAUUAGCUAGUUGGCGGGGUAAAGGCCCACCAUGGCGACGAUCCGUAGCUGGUCUGAGAGGAUGAUCAGCCACACUGGAACUGAGACACGGUCCAGACUCCUACGGGAGGCAGCAGUGGGGAAUAUUGGACAAAGGGCGCAAGCCUGAUCCAGCCAUACCGCGUGGGUGAAGAAGGCCUUCGGGUUGUAAAGCCCUUUUGUUGGGAAAGAAAAGCAGCAGGUUAAUACCCCGCUGUUCUGACGGUACCCAAAGAAUAAGCACCGGCUAACUUCGUG
This 492-nucleotide ribosomal RNA is filed under the name uncultured bacterium. Its description in RNAcentral is "partial 16S ribosomal RNA". It matches the Rfam family "Bacterial small subunit ribosomal RNA", at positions 29 to 507 of the family's 1533-position model. The record is from RNAcentral.